GACGAACGCUGGCGGCGUGCUUAACACAUGCAAGUCGAACGGGUCUGCCCUGUUUUUUGCGGGGUGGGUCGGUGGCGAACGGGUGAGUAACACGUGAGUAACCUGCCCCUCACUUCUGGAUAACCGCUUGAAAGGGUGGCUAAUACGGGGUGUUCUGGCUGUGCCGCAUGGUGUGGCUGGGAAAGAUUCACUUUUGUGGUGUUUUGGUGGGGGAUGGGCUCGCGGCCUAUCAGCUUGUUGGUGGGGUGAUGGCCUGCCAAGGCUUUGACGGGUAGCCGGCCUGAGAGGGUGGGCGGUCACACUGGGAAUGAGAUACGGCCCAGACUCCUGCGGGAGGCAGCAGGGGGGGGUAUUGCACAAUGGGCGGAAGCCUGAUGCAGCGACGUCGCGUGAGGGAUGGAGGCCUUCGGGUUGUGAACCUCUUUCGCCGGUGAAGAAGGUCCUGCUCUUUGUGGUGGGGUUGACGGUAGCCGGGUUAUGAAGCGCCGGCUAACUACGUG
RNAcentral lists this ribosomal RNA (500 nucleotides) under uncultured bacterium. RNAcentral describes it as "partial 16S ribosomal RNA". It matches the Rfam family "Bacterial small subunit ribosomal RNA", at positions 28 to 507 of the family's 1533-position model. The record is from RNAcentral.